This 72-nucleotide transfer RNA is filed under the name Rattus norvegicus (Norway rat). It matches the Rfam family "tRNA". Rfam says of the family: Transfer RNA (tRNA) molecules are approximately 80 nucleotides in length. Their secondary structure includes four short double-helical elements and three loops (D, anti-codon, and T loops). The record is from Rfam by way of RNAcentral. Lineage: Eukaryota; Metazoa; Chordata; Mammalia; Rodentia; Muridae.
GGGGAUGUGGCUCAGUGGGUAGAGCGCUUGUCUAGCGUGCACGGAGCCUUGGGUUUGAGCCCCAGCACCUCA